CCUACGGGAGGCUGCAGUCGAGAAUCAUUGACAAUGGGCGAAACCCUGACCCUGCGACGCCGCGUGAGGGAAUGAAGCUCUUCGGUUUGUAAACCCCUUUCAUGGGGGAGCAAAUAGAGAAGGUAGUACCACAACAGGCAGAGACGGCUAACCCGGUGCCAGCAGCCGCGGUAAUACAGAGGUCUCAAGCAUUCUCCGGAAUCACUGGGCGUAAAGGGGGAGGAGGGUGUGACGCAAGUAGGGUGAGAAAGUCGCGGGCUCAACCCGCGGACGGCACCGGAAACUGCGCGUCUUGAGUGAUGGAGAGGGAACCGGAAUGCGCGGUGUAGCGGUGAAAUGCGUAGAUAUCGAGAGGAACACUCGUGGCGAAGGCGGGUUCCUGGACAGUAACUGACGCUGAGGCACGAAGGCGAGGGGAGCGAAAGGGAUUAGAUACCCUGGUAGUC
This 446-nucleotide ribosomal RNA is filed under the name uncultured bacterium. Its description in RNAcentral is "partial 16S ribosomal RNA". It matches the Rfam family "Bacterial small subunit ribosomal RNA", at positions 338 to 795 of the family's 1533-position model. The record is from RNAcentral.